This 489-nucleotide ribosomal RNA is filed under the name uncultured bacterium. RNAcentral's name for it is "partial 16S ribosomal RNA". It matches the Rfam family "Bacterial small subunit ribosomal RNA", at positions 29 to 506 of the family's 1533-position model. The record is from RNAcentral.
AUUGAACGCUGGCGGCAGGCCUAACACAUGCAAGUCGAACGGUAACAGGAAGCAGCUUGCUGCUUUGCUGACGAGUGGCGGACGGGUGAGUAAUGUCUGGGAAACUGCCUGAUGGAGGGGGAUAACUACUGGAAACGGUAGCUAAUACCGCAUAACGUCGCAAGACCAAAGAGGGGGACCUUAGGGCCUCUUGCCAUCGGAUGUGCCCAGAUGGGAUUAGCUAGUAGGUGGGGUAACGGCUCACCUAGGCGACGAUCCCUAGCUGGUCUGAGAGGAUGACCGGCCACACUGGAAAGGGGACACGGUCCAGAAUCCGACGGGAGGCAGCAGUGGGAAAUAUAGCACAAUGGGCGGAAGCCUAAAGUAGCCAUGCCGCGUGUAUGAAGAAGGCCUUCGGGUUGUAAAGUACUUUCGGCGGGGAGGAAGGGAGUAAAGUUAAUACCUGUGCUCAUUGACGUUACCCGCAGAAGAAGCACCGGCGAACUCCGU